GUGCACCAGUCGCGAAAACUUCACAAUGUGCGAAAGCACGAUGAGGGAAUCCCAAGUGCUUGCUCGUAAGAGUAAGCUGUUUCUCUGUCUAAAACGCAGAGAGAGUAAGGGCUGGGUAAGACGGGUGCCAGCCGCCGCGGUAAUACCUGCAGCUCGAGUGGUGGCCGCUAUUAUUGGGCCUAAAACGUCCGUAGCCGGUUAUU
Molecule: ribosomal RNA, 203 nt
Filed under: uncultured microorganism
Description: partial 16S ribosomal RNA
Rfam family: Archaeal small subunit ribosomal RNA
Source: RNAcentral